AAUCCACCUUCUUGCCACCUGCAACCCCAAUCUCAAUCCGGAGGCCAGUACCACCAGGAUAUUUCUUAAAGAGCUGGGAACCUUUGCUCAAAGCUCCAUCGCCCUUCACCAUCAGUACAACCCCAAGUUUCAGACCCUGUUCCAACCCUGUAACUUGAUGGGAGCUAUGCAGCUUGUUGAAGACUUCAGCACACAUGUCAGCAUUGACUGCAGCCCUCAUAAAACUGUCAAGAAGACUGGUAGGAGACAGAUGUGUCAGCUUUAAGUUUUUACUUGUGCCAAUGAAUUUCCCUGUUUGCCAAAGCAAGUGGCUUGGAUCCUGGCCACAAGCAAGGUUUUCAUGUAUCCAGAGUUACUUCCAGUGUGUUCCCUGAAGGCAAAGAAUCCCCAGGAUAAGAUCGUCUUCACCAAGGCUGAGGACAAUUUGUUAGCUUUAGGACUGAAGCAUUUUGAAGGAACUGAGUUUCCUAAUCCUCUAAUCAGCAAGUACCUUCUAACCUGCAAAACUGCCCACCAACUGACAGUGAGAAUCAAGAACCUCAACAUGAACAGAGCUCCUGACAACAUCAUUAAAUUUUAUAAGAAGACCAAACAACUGCCAGUCCUAGUAAAAUGCUGUGAAGAGAUCCAGCCACAUCAGUGGAAGCCACCUAUAGAGAGAGAAGAACACCGGCUCCCAUUCUGGUUAAAGGCCAGUCUGCCAUCCAUCCAGGAAGAACUGCGGCGCAUGGCUGAUGGUGCUAGAGAGGUAGGAAAUGUGACUGGAACCACUGAGAUCAACUCAGAUCAAGGCCUAGAAAAAGACAAUUUGGAGUUGGAGAGUGAAACUCGGUACCCACUGCUAUUGCCUAAGGGUAUAGUCCUA
RNAcentral lists this small RNA (865 nucleotides) under Pongo abelii (Sumatran orangutan). Its description in RNAcentral is "processed transcript". The record is from RNAcentral. Lineage: Eukaryota; Metazoa; Chordata; Mammalia; Primates; Hominidae.